This is a non-coding RNA of Pelobates cultripes (western spadefoot toad), 1120 nucleotides long. The record is from the annotation of a GenBank genome assembly. NCBI's taxonomy places the organism in Eukaryota, Metazoa, Chordata, Amphibia, Anura, Pelobatidae.
AUUUCAUUCUUGCUGCAGGGCUAGUUCCCAAUUCUUUCCUGCAGAAUAAUUCAUUUGUGAUCUAUGCAAAAACUUUCAAUAAUAUUUUUUUGCUGACCAGUCAAUAAGCAAAUGAAGUGGAGAUUUUGUUUUGGUAUUCUAAAUCUUGCCUAGACUCUGGCAGUUCCUUGUCCAUCACUAAUGACAGGAAACCUUUAGAUAGAUUUGUAUAACUGUCCCCUGAUUUGUAAGAGUCAGUUUAUUUUCUGACACUCUAUCAUCCGCUUAGAGAACGGUGGUUGGGUGUAAGCACAACACCCUGAGAGCUUCCAAGAGUCAGGGAGUUUACGAAAUGGGAACUGUCACACGCCAGAAACAUAACAGGGUUACUUACUAAGGUGAGAAUUGCACGGAAUUCAAAGUUAAAAUUCAAGGCCAAAGUAGCUGAACUGAAAGCACAGCUAAAUGGGAGAAUUUUUCCAGUGCUCGGGGUAAAAGGUGAUGGGUGUUUGUACCCAGAUCAAUUUAAUAACCUGAAGUGGUAUGGGUGCAUACAGUGACCCUUUAAUAUCUGGGCAUUGGCGAUGCUCUGGCUAGGGAUGCACACUGGCUAGCCAGCCACAACAUUAAAAUGUUUUUUAAAAAAGAGGCAAGACUUACUUGUCACUGGCUUCCACAUCAACCAAUCAGAGUGCUCUGACUUCAAUUUCGACGUCUAGGAAGGCCUUUAUAAAGAACGUUCCCGUUUUCGACGAGCCCAAAUUGGGUGAAGAUGGCUCCUAUUUUUCUUCUUUUAUUUUUUUGUGCGGGGUUUUUCCUUUUUAUGUCAUUUUGUUUUGUGAUUUGGGUCUUUUUUUAUUUUUAAUAACGAAGAUGUUAGAAGAAAGACUUUCACCAGGUAACUAUGAAGCUAUUUUUAAUUGAUUUAAAUUACUUCUCCCCUUUCUCACUAUUAAGGCAUAGGGAGUGUUUUUAUUGCAUUGGGGGGAGGGGGUCUAGAUAGGUUUUUAGUCAGUAGUGUGAUUGAUUAUUCACAGAAGUGUCGGUUCCCCUUUAAUAUUUUUUGUCUAUCUCCUGUAUCCAUUUAAAUGUAGAAAUCCACAUGCUGUAUCUGUCCUGGAACUCUGAGCUUCAAUCUUGG